Molecule: ribosomal RNA, 497 nt
Filed under: uncultured bacterium
Lineage: Bacteria
Description: partial 16S ribosomal RNA
Rfam family: Bacterial small subunit ribosomal RNA
Source: RNAcentral
GAUGAACGCUGGCGGCGUGCCUAAUACAUGCAAGUCGAGCGAACGGACGAGAAGCUUGCUUCUCUGAUGUUAGCGGCGGACGGGUGAGUAACAUGUGGAUAACCUACCUAUAAGACUGGGAUAACUUCGGGAAACCGUAGCUAAUACCGGAUAAUAUUUUGAACUGCAUGGUUCAAAAGUGAAAGUCGGUCUUUCUGUCACUUAUAGAUGGAUACGCGCUGCAUUAGCUAGUUGGUAAGGUAACGGCUUACCAAGGCAACGAAGCAUAGCCGACCUGGAAGGGUGAUCGGCCACGCUGGAACUGAGGCACGGUCAGGACUCCUGCGGGAGGCAGCAGUAGGGAAUCUUCCGCAAUGGGCGAAAGCCUGACGAAGCAACGCCGCGUGAGUGAUGAAGGUCUUCGGAUCGUAAAACUCUGUUAUUAGGGAAGAACAUAUGUGUAAGUAACUGUGCACAUCUUGACGGUACCUGAUCAGAAAGCCACGGCUAACUACGUG